AGAGUUUGAUCCUGGCUCAGGACGAACGCUGGCGGCGCGCCUAACACAUGCAAGUCGAGCGGACUUUUUAUGAAAGCUUGCUGGAUUAAAGAGUUAGCGGCGGACGGGUGAGUAACGCGUGAGCAAUCUGUCCCACACAGGGGGAUAAUACCGCGAAAGUGGUUCUAAUACCGCAUGAGACCACGGAUGGGCAUCCAUCGGGGGUCAAAGGAGCAAUCCGGUGUGGGGUGAGCUCGCGUCCGAUUAGAUAGUAGGUGAGGUAACGGCCCACCUAGUCGACGAUCGGUAGCCGACCUAAGAGGGUGAUCGGCCACAUUGGGACUGAGACACGGCCCAGACUCCUACGGGAGGCAGCAGUGGGGAAUAUUGGGCAAUGGGGGAAACCCUGACCCAGCAACGCCGCGUGGAGGAAGAAGGUUUUCGGAUCGUAAACUCCUGUCCUAAGGGAAGAGCAGAAGACUGUACCUUAGGAGGAAGCCCCGGCUAACUACGUGCCAGCAGCCGCGGUAAUACGUAGGGGGCGAGCGUUGUCCGGAAUGAUUGGGCGUAAAGGGCGCGUAGGCGGCCUGUUAAGUCUGGAGUGAAAGUCCCGCUUUCAAGGUGGGAAUUGCUUUGGAAACUGGCGGGCUUGAGUGCAGGAGAGGUCAUUGGAAUUCCCAGUGUAGCGGUGAAAUGCGUAGAGAUUGGGAGGAACACCAGUGGCGAAGGCGAGUGACUGGACUGUAACUGACGCUGAGGCGCGAAAGUGUGGGGAGCAAACAGGAUUAGAUACCCUGGUAGUCCACACUGUAAACGAUGAGUGCUAGGUGUAGGAGGUAUCGACCCCUUCUGUGCCGCAGUCAACACAAUAAGCACUCCGCCUGGGGAGUACGGCCGCAAGGUUGAAACUCAAAGGAAUUGACGGGGGCCCGCACAAGCAGCGGAGCAUGUGGUUUAAUUCGACGCAACGCGAAGAACCUUACCAGGUCUUGACAUCCAUUUAAAGCUGUAGAGAUACAGUGUGAGCUUGCUCGAAAUGAGACAGGUGGUGCAUGGUUGUCGUCAGCUCGUGUCGUGAGAUGUUGGGUUAAGUCCCGCAACGAGCGCAACCCCUGCCUGUAGUAGCCAGCAUGUUAAGAUGGGGACUCUACAGGGACUGCCGGGGUCAACCCGGAGGAAGGUGGGGAUGACGUCAAAUCAUCAUGCCCCUUACGGCCUGGGCGACACACGUGCUACAAUGGCACAACAAAGAGACGCGAUCCCGCGAGGGGGAGCAAACCUCAAAAAUAGUGUCCCAGUUCGGACUGCAGUCUGCAACCCGACUGCACGAAGCCGGAAUCGCUAGUAAUCGCGGAUCAGAAUGCCGCGGUGAAUACGUUCCCGGGUCUUGUACACACCGCCCGUCACACCAUGGGAGUCGGCAAUGCCCGAAGCCGGUGGCCUAACUGCAAAGAAGGAGCCGUCGAAGGCAGGGCUGAUGACUGGGGUGAAGUCGUAACAAGGUAGC
This 1486-nucleotide ribosomal RNA is filed under the name uncultured bacterium. RNAcentral describes it as "partial 16S ribosomal RNA". It matches the Rfam family "Bacterial small subunit ribosomal RNA". The record is from RNAcentral.